Molecule: ribosomal RNA, 612 nt
Filed under: Acarospora intermedia
Lineage: Eukaryota; Fungi; Ascomycota; Lecanoromycetes; Acarosporales; Acarosporaceae
Description: SSU rRNA
Rfam family: Bacterial small subunit ribosomal RNA
Source: RNAcentral
AGCGAAAGCUAGUUGUAUUAACUAUUAGUUAAUGCAAGAUCGAUUAUGUCGACUAAAGUUCUAGGUAGAAUAAUGAUGAUGACAAUUUUCUACCUAUAUGUCUUGACCAAGUCUCGUGCCAGCAGUCGCGGUAAUACGUGGAAGACUAGUGUUAUUCAUCUUUAAUAGGUUUAAAGGGUACCUAGACGGUAUUUCUAGCCCAAAAUAGGGUACGGAUUUACUAGAGUUUUAUGUGAGGAGGGGAGUACUCGUGGAGUAGAGAUGAAAUUUUGUGAUACUACGAGGAAACUGGUGGCGGCGAAAGCAACCUUCUAUGUAUAAACUGACGUUGAGGGACGAAGGCUUGGGUAGCAAAUAGGAUUAGAUACCCUAGUAGUCCAAGCAGACAAUUCUGAAUGCCAUAGAUUAGAUUAUUUUUGGUCUAUAAAUGAAAGUGUAAGCAUUCCACCUUAAGAGUAAUGUGGCAACACAGGAACUGAAAUCAUUAGACCGUUUCUGAAACCAGUAGUGAAGUAUGUUAUUUAAUUUGUUGGUCCUCAAAAAACCUUACCACAACUUGAAUAUUAUUCAAUUAAUACAAGCGUUGCACGGCUGUCUUCAGUUAAUGUCGUG